AACGCGAAGAACCUUACCUACCCUUGACAUCCUCGGAAGCUGCUAGAGAUAGCGGUGUGCCUUCGGGAACCGAGAGACAGGUGCUGCAUGGCUGUCGUCAGCUCGUGUCGUGAGAUGUUGGGUUAAGUCCCGUAACGAGCGCAACCCUUGUCCUUAGUUGCCAACAGGUAAAGCUGGGAACUCUAAGGAGACUGCUGGUGAUAAGCCGGAGGAAGGUGGGGAUGACGUCAAGUCCUCAUGGCCCUUACGGGUAGGGCCACACACGUGCUACAAUGGGCGGUACAAAAGGAAGCGAAACUGAGAAGUGAAGCGAAUCUUAGAAAGCCGCUCGUAGUCCGGAUUGGAGUCUGCAACUCGACUCCAUGAAGUUGGAAUCGCUAGUAAUCGCGGAUCAGAACGCCGCGGUGAAUACGUUCCCGGGCCUUGUACACACCGAGUAUA
RNAcentral lists this ribosomal RNA (441 nucleotides) under uncultured bacterium. Its description in RNAcentral is "bacterial SSU rRNA". It matches the Rfam family "Bacterial small subunit ribosomal RNA", at positions 958 to 1398 of the family's 1533-position model. The record is from RNAcentral.